UGGCAACCCUGGUCGGAUUAGAAAACGUUCAAUCUGUCGAGGAAGUCGGUCGGGACUUUAAAAAAAACAAAAAAAAAAAACAUGAAGUAAAAACUUUAGAAACUGAAGAAAGUAACUUGGAUUUGGGACUAAGGACAGCCGAAGACUAUGCUCGUGGAUAAAAAUGUGUUUUAGUAUAUGGAGAUAGCACCGUCGCUGUCCGUUGAAACGAUGGCAGGCAUUUUAACGUAUUUGAAGCGGGGGCUGAAGGUGGACGUCCUGAGAGAAGCUGGCCGUCAGUAUCCGGUCUUCUGCUUCCUGCUGCUGGCUAUGGUCUCGCUGACUGUGCUGCUCAACAGGUAUAUCCACAUCCUGAUGGUCUUCUGGUCGUUCCUGGCUGGUGUCAUCACUUUCUAUUGCUCCUUUGGACCAGAGUCCCUUCUCCCAAAUGUCCUUUUCACCAUAAAGCCAAGGAACAAACGGCAGGAGCAGGAGCUGUUUCCUCUGGGCCACAGCUGUGCCGUGUGCGGGAAGGUCAAGUGCAAACGUCACCGGCCGACGCUGCUCCUUGAAAACUACCAGCCAUGGUUGGACCUGAAAGUUCAUUCAAAAGUGGAUGCUUCAAUAGCAGAGGUGUUUGAGUUAGUUCUCGAGAACUUUGUGUUCCCCUGGUACAGAGACAUCACAGAUGACGAGGCGUGUGUGGAUGAACUGAGGAUGACCUUUCGCUUCUUCGCAUCAGUGCUUGUCCGCCGGGCUCAGAAGGUUGAUGUUCCUGCUGUGUUUGCAGACAAAGUGAUGAAAGCUGCAAUGAAGCAUAUUGAAAUUAUUGGAAAAGCUCGAGAAAAAGUGAAGGAUGUGGGGGGUUUACAACAGGCAGCUCUGGAUGAAUACGGCACUGACCUCCACAUCGCUCUGCACAGCCGAAAAGACGAGCUGCUCUACCUGAGGACGCUGACGGAGAUGCUGUUUCCCUACGUCAUGCCUCCCAAAGCAACAGACUGCAGGUCUCUGGCUCUGUUGCUGCGGGAGGUGAUGGCUGGGUCUGUCAUAUUACCUACCAUGGAUUUCAUGGCUGACCCUGAUAUUGUGAACCUCAUGGUGCUGAUAUUUGUUGAUGACACUCCACCAGAACCAGCCACAGAGCCUCCGUCUACCCUGGUUCCAUUUUUACAGAAAUAUGCAGACGUCAGCAACAAGAAGCCGUCUGUGCUGAAGUUGGAGCUGAAGGAGAUCAGGGACCAGCAGGAUCUCCUCUUUCGUUUCAUGAACUUCCUGAAGCAGGAAGGAGCUGUGCACGUGCUGCAGUUCUGCCUCACCGUGGAGGAGUUUAACGACAAGAUCCUGAGUCCGGAGCUGAGCGACGCUGAGCUGCAGCGCCUACAUGGUGAGGUGCUGCACAUCUAUGAGACCUACUGCCUGGAUGAAAGCAUCGACAAGAUCAGCUUCGACAAGUUCAUCGUGGAGGAGAUAAGGAACAUUGCUAAAGGUCCGUACGCUGGUGUGGUGAAGCUGCAGACGAUGCGCUGCCUGUUUGAGGCGUACGAACACGUCCUGUCUCUGCUGGAGAGAGUCUUCACCCCGAUGUUCUGUCACAGCGACGAAUACUUCAGACACCUGCUGAGGGGGGCGGAGUCUCCACCAAGGAACUCAAGAAUCAACAGAAAUAGCUUCAGUUUGGAAGAAAACAGAAACACGUCAAAACGAGGGGAGUCGUUUGGCAUCAGCAGAAUUGGCAGCAAAAUCAAAGGUGUGUUCAAGAGCACGACCAUGGAGGGAGCCAUGCUGCCACCCAGCGCCAUGAACGACUUUGACGAUGAUUUGGUGGAGGAGGCGACGGUCGUGAUGGAGGACGACUCCCCCGCGGAGCCGGCCAGCACACCGGGCGCCCUGAGGAACCUGUCGGCCUGGAGCAUCACCAUCCCCUACAUCGACAUCUACGACGACGAGGCCAAGAGGGAGAAGAUCCCCGUCUUCUGCAUCGAUGUGGAGCGCAACGACAGGAAGGACGUUGGUCAUGAAACUGAAAAGUUGUCGGUCUACAGAAGAUAUCUGGAGUUCUACGUACUAGAAUCCAAACUCACGGAGUUCCACGGCACAUUUGCAGAUGCACAGCUUCCAUCCAAAAGAAUUAUUGGACCAAAGAAUUAUGAGUUCCUCGCAUCAAAAAGGGAAGAAUUUGAGGAAUAUUUACAGAGACUCCUGCAGCAUCCAGAGCUCAGUAACAGUCAGCUGCUGGCCGACUUCCUGUCUCCGUACAGCAUGGAGUCUCAGUUCCUGGACAGGAUGCUGCCUGAUGUCAACCUGGGAAAAAUAUUCAAGUCCGUACCAGGGAAGCUGAUGAAAGAGAAAGGACAGAACCUGGAGCCUUUCAUCCAGUCCUUCUUCAACUCCUGCGAGUCGCCCAAACCCAAACCCAGCAGACCGGAGUUGACCAUCCUCAGCCCCUCCACCGAGAACAACAAGAAGCUCUUCAACGACCUGUUCAAGAACAACGCAAACCUGUCGGAGAGUUCGGAGUGGAGACACAACCACAACUGCUUCUUGGACAUGGUCACUGUCGACGGCAUGUAUGACUACAUGAUGUACGUCGGUCGGGUGGUGUUCCACGUGCCCAACUGGCUGCACCACGUCCUGGCCGCAGGGAGGAUCCUGUUCAAGAACACCUUCGAAGCCUACAUGGACCAGUACAUGCUGUCCAAACUGGAGCAGGUCCUCCAGGAGCACCACACGGUCUCCCUCAUCACGCAGCUCAGAGACGCCGUCUUCUGUGAGAACAGCGAGGAGCGAACCGCAGAGGACAAACAAGUCAGAGCCAAGCAGACGUUUGAGGAGAUGAUGAAGUAUUUACCAGACUUUGUGGGAAAGUGCAUCGGCGAGGAGGCGAAAUACGAAGGCAUCAGACUCCUCUUCGACGGGUUCCAGCAGCCUCUCCUCAACAAGCAGAUGACGUACGUCCUGCUGGACAUCGCCGUGCAGGAGCUUUUCCCUGAACUCAGCGUGGUAAGCGAGUGACGGCGGAGAAUGUAAAGAAAUAAUACAGGAAGAGAUUCAGCUCGCUGUGUUGUUUGGGAACGUUUACCAUGAGCUCUUAAAAAGGGCAGGAGAGUACGACAAUAUCUGACACGGGAGAUUAAUCAUGUUGUGAGUACAAACUCAUCCCAGCAAGGAAAGGCUUUUAAUGUGAAACAGAGGAAUAAAUUCAGUAACAUGGCUGAAUGUAGUAUAAAUCAGGCCUGUCGCUCUCUGCAGUCGAGGUAAUUAAAGGCCCUGCCCGUUGUUUGAGACUGUACGGUACGUUCAGUCUGUUUUUGUGCUUUUAUUUCUGGAGUUCAUAGCACAAGAAUAAGCUGAAUCCCUAAAUCCACCUGCUGCUAUCGAAGUGUAACUAACUUGGUAACUGAGGUCUGUGGAUUUCAGGUAAAAAACAGCUGAAAUCCGCUCAUUCGCUUUCUUUCUUUAGACUCAGGCUGUGGUUAGCCUAGCUUAGCAUAAAGACUGGAAGCGGGUGGAAACAGCUAGCCUGCCUUUCCCCAUAAUUCGAAAAAUACACCUACCAGCUCCUCUAAAACUCACUGAUUAAUAUCUCACUUGUUUCGUCGGAGCACAAACAGAAAUGUAAGAGAGUUACGUGCUUGAACAACAUUGUAUCGAUCUGUAUUAACAUGCUGCGUUGCCAGAUAUGGUGAAUGAGUUCAGGUUUUGGCAACCUCACACAAAUUGUUGUUUUUAGCAAUCCUAGUGGCUCGGACAUUCAUAACUUCGGUGAUCCUCUGACUUUUCAUCUAGCGCCAUCAUCAGGACAAUGUUUUAAUUUGUCCAAGUACCAGCAGAACUAAUGACAUUCCCAUCAGCCUCAGCUGUACUUUGUGCUUACUGCUAAUUAGCAAAUAUGUGCAUGCUAACACACUAAAAUACGAUGGUAAGCAUUAUUCCUGUUAGCAUUUAGCUCAAAGCACCGCUGUAGACUCUUGUUACAUUUCUGUUUGUGGACGGUGUUGGUACGUGUAUUUAUGAAGUUUGGACAGAGCCAGGUUAACCACAACCCGACUUCAGCUAAAUACAGACGUGAUCAUCUAACUCUGAGAAAGACAAAACGUUGAUCAGGACAGAAGAAAUGUUUCGUGUGCUGUCUCAACUGUGAUAAUGAAACACUUCUGCGGUUGAAGCUCAACUUAAGAUUCCUAUUUCAGUUCAGUCGACUAAAACCUUCACAGCAACGAGCGAACCGCCCAGCUCUGGUUUCACUUUGUGUUCAAGACGAGGCUUUUCACAGUUUCUAUUUUUAGUUUUGCGUUCACACAACAUUCAAGCGUCCGCAGCGUGUGUGAAAGGCCACAAUGAAAAUAAACCAAGCCAGCUGUCCUCGUCUUCAGCCGAUUCGAGCAAACGCUCACUUUUUGAAAAGCUGGAACCAGUGAAUUACUUGCAUUUUUGCUCUGAUUAAGACUAGAGACAGUUUAACUACUCUCUGAAAUGCUGCUGUGCACAUCGUCAGAUUAACUCACCAAAGUGAAGCCGGUGUUUGAUGUUGACGUUUCCUCCUCGGCAGGGAGCGACGGAAGCGACCGUCGUGUGAAGCAGACGAUGUACGUCUCUGACAUCCUGGGUUAUGGAAGUGCAAUACUCCACUAUUUCCAGAUCUGCUGGGAACAUUUUUACAUUCCAAUGUAUAUAAAUGCACUAAUAAAAAGAUAUAUAUUUAUUGAUGUCACUACAGAUAAUGUUGUUUAUCAUCAUCAUCUUUCCACCACUGACAAUAUUUGCACAUUUCUUUGGAAAAUCCAAAAGUGUUAUUAAACAUGUUUGAAAUCUA
This is an RNA transcript of Siniperca chuatsi (mandarin fish), 4795 nucleotides long. It is a transcript of the gene named sorting nexin 14, with no coding region annotated. The transcript has 30 exons. The record is from RefSeq and is a predicted model, not a curated record. NCBI's taxonomy places the organism in Eukaryota, Metazoa, Chordata, Actinopteri, Centrarchiformes, Sinipercidae.